AUUGAACGCUGGCGGCAUGCUUUACACAUGCAAGUCGAACGGCAGCGCCGGCUUCGGCCUGGCGGCGAGUGGCGAACGGGUGAGUAAUGCAUCGGAACGUGCCCAGUAGUGGGGGAUAGCCCGGCGAAAGCCGGAUUAAUACCGCAUACGACCUGAGGGUGAAAGCGGGGGACCGAAAGGCCUCGCGCUAUUGGAGCGGCCGAUGUCGGAUUAGCUAGUUGGUGGGGUAAAGGCUUACCAAGGCGACGAUCCGUAGCUGGUCUGAGAGGACGACCAGCCACACUGGGACUGAGACACGGCCCAGACUCCUACGGGAGGCAGCAGUGGGGAAUUUUGGACAAUGGGGGCAACCCUGAUCCAGCCAUGCCGCGUGCGGGAAGAAGGCCUUCGGGUUGUAAACCGCUUUUGUUCGGGAAGAAAUCCUCUGGGCUAAUACCCCGGGGGGAUGACGGUACCGGAAGAAUAAGCACCGGCUAACUACGUG
Molecule: ribosomal RNA, 484 nt
Filed under: uncultured bacterium
Lineage: Bacteria
Description: partial 16S ribosomal RNA
Rfam family: Bacterial small subunit ribosomal RNA
Source: RNAcentral